AGUGAACGCUGGCGGUAGGCCUAACACAUGCAAGUCGAGCGGCAGCACAGUAAGAGCUUGCUCUUACGGGUGGCGAGUGGCGGACGGGUGAGACGUACAUCGGAAUCUACUUUUUCGGGGGGGAUAACGGAGGGAAACUUACGCUAAUACCGCAUACGACCUACGGGUGAAAGCAGGGGAAAUUCGGACCUUGCGCGAUUGAAUGAGCCGAUGUCGGAUUAGCUAGUUGGCGGGGUAAAGGACCACCAAGGCGACGAUACGUAGCUGGUCUGAGAGGAUGAUCAGCCACACUGGAACUGAGACACGGUCCAGACUCCUACGGGAGGCAGCAGUGGGGAAUAUUGCACAAUGGGCGCAAGCCUGACCCAGCCAUGCCGCGUGGGUGAAGAAGGCCUUCGGGUCGUAAAGCCCUUUUGUUGGGAAAGAAAAGCUGUAUGUUAAUCCCCCGCUGUUCUGACGGUACCCAAAGAAUAAGCACCGGCUAACUUCGUG
Molecule: ribosomal RNA, 492 nt
Filed under: uncultured bacterium
Lineage: Bacteria
Description: partial 16S ribosomal RNA
Rfam family: Bacterial small subunit ribosomal RNA
Source: RNAcentral